This is a long non-coding RNA of Bos taurus (domestic cattle), 1536 nucleotides long. The record is from Ensembl. NCBI's taxonomy places the organism in Eukaryota, Metazoa, Chordata, Mammalia, Artiodactyla, Bovidae.
GGUAGCCUUCUUUCAUGGAUUUUCCAGUGCAAGCAUAGUUGCUCAGUGGUGUCCGACUCUUUGCGAACCCAUGGGCUGUACCCUGGCCAGGCUCCUCUGUCCAUGGAGUUCUCCAGGCAAGAACACUAGAGUGGGUGGCCAUUCCCUUCUCCAGGGAAUCUUCCCAACCCAUGGAUGGAACCCAGGUGUCCUGCAUUGCAGCAGAUUACCUCCUUAAUCCUCCUGAAGUCUCAUCAUAGGAAGACAAUUCUAUUGAGAGAAAAGGGAAUGGAAGCUCAUCAUCGUUAUACCCUCUUCCUCAUUAUCAUCAUCACAUGAUUAUAACCAAGCAGGACCCUAUGGUUGGAUGGCAUCACCGACUCAGUGGACGUGAAUCUGAACAAAAACUCCGAUGGGAACCACCUGCCCCCUCAGAUGGAGGAAGUACUUGCUGACCAUGAGCACACAGCCUCAGGCCUCCUGGAGCCCAAGGACUGAUAACCUCUGUGAUACCACCUGACUGUCUCAACAUCAGCCAAUCAGAGAAUUGGCCGUGCACAAGCUGAUCACUACCUUUCGACCUCCUCUUCACCUGCCCUUUAAAAAUGCUCUGCCAAAACCUUUCAGGGAGCUCAGGGCUUUUCAGGGCAUGAGCCACCUCGUCUCCUUGUGUGACCUUGCAAUAAACCUUUCUCUGCCCCAGACUCUGACAUUUCAGUUUAUCUGCUCUCACUGCGCACAGGGGAACACGAACUUGCAUAUACAUGAUUGCUGUAGUGUGAUUGGCAUCUGCCGUGUGCGAUUCUAAGUGCUUUUCACAUGUUAGUUCACUCUCACAGCUUGACAAGUACAUAUUUUGAUAAUAAUAGCUGCUGUAUAUCGGAUGCUUCCUGUGUGCUAGAUAGACACUGUGCUAAAUACAUUUACCAUUUCAUUUAUACUAUACAAUGGUGUAUACGUGUCCUAUAUUGACAAAACGAAGGCUGGAAGAGUCCUGUGUUUGUCUCUGCACUAUCAAUUUAAAUGAACCUGUUUGUUUAUUUGCAGCCUUCCUUCACAUCCCUAAAUUAACCAAACCACAACACGGUGAUCAUUUUUGAAGAAUGUGAAGUUGUUGGUUUGGUGUCACCCUCAAGAGUUCUGGAGAAAUCUAUCCUGCUCAAGACAGCAGGAAAAAAGAAUUUCAACGCCUAUUUGGUUACUAAGUACACAGAGAGCAAGACGAGACAGAGAGUUCUGAGCUCAAAGUGCAGAGAGUCCGAGUAAUUGUCCAGAACAAAUGAAGCGCUCAGAAUGAAUGACUAAGGACAUUGCCACAAUGUUCUCUGCUCAGGCUAUUAGAUCACCCCAGAAAAACACACAGCUAUUUUUGAGGAUGGAAAGGAGCUUUGUGUGUGCGCUCCAGCUGCUCCCUUGCCUUCUGGUAGGCUCUGAAAAAAAUCCAUGAUGCAUGCAGACAAGCGAUUCUGUUCCAGCCUUUGCUACUGAAAGCAUAGUCUAAGGCUCAGCAGCCCUGGCUUCACCCAGGAACUUGUUGCAGCCUGUGGGGCCCCACCU